GGUUAAGCGACUAAGCGUACACGGUGGAUGCCCUGGCAGUCAGAGGCGAUGAAGGACGUGCUAAUCUGCGAAAAGCGUCGGUAAGGUGAUAUGAACCGUUAUAACCGGCGAUGUCCGAAUGGGGAAACCCAGUGCAAUUCGUUGCACUAUCGUUAACUGAAUACAUAGGUUAACGAGGCGAACCGGGGGAACUGAAACAUCUAAGUACCCCGAGGAAAAGAAAUCAACCGAGAUUCCCCCAGUAGCGGCGAGCGAACGGGGAGCAGCCCAGAGUCUGAAUCAGCUUGUGUGUUAGUGGAACGGUCUGGAAAGUCCGACGGUACAGGGUGAUAGUCCCGUACACCAAAAUGCACAGGCUGUGAACUCGAAGAGUAGGGCGGGACACGUGGUAUCCUGUCUGAAUAUGGGGGGACCAUCCUCCAAGGCUAAAUACUCCUGACUGACCGAUAGUGAACCAGUACCGUGAGGGAAAGGCGAAAAGAACCCCGGCGAGGGGAGUGAAAAAGAACCUGAAACCGUGUACGUACAAGCAGUGGGAGCACCUUCGGGUGUGACUGCGUACCUUUUGUAUAAUGGGUCAGCGACUUAUAUUCUGUAGCAAGGUUAACCGUAUAGGGGAGCCGCAGGGAAACCGAGUCUUAACUGGGCGUUAAGUUGCAGGGUAUAGACCCGAAACCCGGUGAUCUAGCCAUGGGCAGGUUGAAGGUUGGGUAACACUAACUGGAGGACCGAACCGACUAAUGUUGAAAAAUUAGCGGAUGACUUGUGGCUGGGGGUGAAAGGCCAAUCAAACCGGGAGAUAGCUGGUUCUCCCCGAAAGCUAUUUAGGUAGCGCCUCGUGAAUUCAUCUUCGGGGGUAGAGCACUGUUUCGGCUAGGGGGUCAUCCCGACUUACCAACCCGAUGCAAACUACGAAUACCGAAGAAUGUUAUCACGGGAGACACACGGCGGGUGCUAACGUCCGUCGUGAAGAGGGAAACAACCCAGACCGCCAGCUAAGGUCCCAAAGUCAUGGUUAAGUGGGAAACGAUGUGGGAAGGCACAGACAGCCAGGAUGUUGGCUUAGAAGCAGCCAUCAUUUAAAGAAAGCGUAAUAGCUCACUGGUCGAGUCGGCCUGCGCGGAAGAUGUAACGGGGCUAAACCAUGCACCGAAGCUGCGGCAGCGACACUAUGUGUUGUUGGGUAGGGGAGCGUUCUGUAAGCCUGCGAAGGUGUGCUGUGAGGCAUGCUGGAGGUAUCAGAAGUGCGAAUGCUGACAUAAGUAACGAUAAAGCGGGUGAAAAGCCCGCUCGCCGGAAGACCAAGGGUUCCUGUCCAACGUUAAUCGGGGCAGGGUGAGUCGACCCCUAAGGCGAGGCCGAAAGGCGUAGUCGAUGGGAAACAGGUUAAUAUUCCUGUACUUGGUGUUACUGCGAAGGGGGGACGGAGAAGGCUAUGUUAGCCGGGCGACGGUUGUCCCGGUUUAAGCAUGUAGGCUGGUUGUCCAGGCAAAUCCGGAUAAUCAAGGCUGAGGUGUGAUGACGAGGCACUACGGUGCUGAAGUAACAAAUGCCCUGCUUCCAGGAAAAGCCUCUAAGCAUCAGGUAACAUCAAAUCGUACCCCAAACCGACACAGGUGGUCAGGUAGAGAAUACCAAGGCGCUUGAGAGAACUCGGGUGAAGGAACUAGGCAAAAUGGUGCCGUAACUUCGGGAGAAGGCACGCUGGUGUGUAGGUGAAGUCCCUGCGGAUGGAGCUGAGACCAGUCGAAGAUACCAGCUGGCUGCAACUGUUUAUUAAAAACACAGCACUGUGCAAACACGAAAGUGGACGUAUACGGUGUGACGCCUGCCCGGUGCCGGAAGGUUAAUUGAUGGGGUUAUCCGUAAGGAGAAGCUCUUGAUCGAAGCCCCGGUAAACGGCGGCCGUAACUAUAACGGUCCUAAGGUAGCGAAAUUCCUUGUCGGGUAAGUUCCGACCUGCACGAAUGGCGUAAUGAUGGCCAGGCUGUCUCCACCCGAGACUCAGUGAAAUUGAACUCGCUGUGAAGAUGCAGUGUACCCGCGGCAAGACGGAAAGACCCCGUGAACCUUUACUAUAGCUUGACACUGAACAUUGAGCCUUGAUGUGUAGGAUAGGUGGGAGGCUUUGAAGCGUGGACGCCAGUCUGCGUGGAGCCAACCUUGAAAUACCACCCUUUAAUGUUUGAUGUUCUAACGUUGGCCCCUUACCGGGGUUGCGGACAGUGUCUGGUGGGUAGUUUGACUGGGGCGGUCUCCUCCCAAAGCGUAACGGAGGAGCACGAAGGUUAGCUAAUCCUGGUCGGACAUCAGGAGGUUAGUGCAAUGGCAUAAGCUAGCUUGACUGCGAGCGUGACGGCGCGAGCAGGUGCGAAAGCAGGUCAUAGUGAUCCGGUGGUUCUGAAUGGAAGGGCCAUCGCUCAACGGAUAAAAGGUACUCCGGGGAUAACAGGCUGAUACCGCCCAAGAGUUCAUAUCGACGGCGGUGUUUGGCACCUCGAUGUCGGCUCAUCACAUCCUGGGGCUGAAGUAGGUCCCAAGGGUAUGGCUGUUCGCCAUUUAAAGUGGUACGCGAGCUGGGUUUAGAACGUCGUGAGACAGUUCGGUCCCUAUCUGCCGUGGGCGCUGGAGAAUUGAGGGGGCUGCUCCUAGUACGAGAGGACCGGAGUGGACGCAUCACUGGUGUUCGGGUUGUCAUGCCAAUGGCACUGCCCGGUAGCUAAAUGCGGAAGAGAUAAGUGCUGAAAGCAUCUAAGCACGAAACUUGCCCCGAGAUGAGUUCUCCCUGAGACUUUAAGUCUCCUGAAGGAACGUUGAAGACGACGACGUUGAUAGGCCGGGUGUGUAAGCGCAGCGAUGCGUUGAGCUAACCGGUACUAAUGAACCGUGAGGCUUAACCUU
Molecule: ribosomal RNA, 2901 nt
Filed under: Klebsiella pneumoniae
Lineage: Bacteria; Pseudomonadati; Pseudomonadota; Gammaproteobacteria; Enterobacterales; Enterobacteriaceae
Description: 23S ribosomal RNA
Rfam family: Bacterial large subunit ribosomal RNA
Source: RNAcentral